RNAcentral lists this ribosomal RNA (253 nucleotides) under uncultured bacterium. Its description in RNAcentral is "partial 16S ribosomal RNA". It matches the Rfam family "Bacterial small subunit ribosomal RNA", at positions 524 to 776 of the family's 1533-position model. The record is from RNAcentral.
UACGAAGGGGGCUAGCGUUGCUUGGAAUCACUGGGCGUAAAGCGCACGUAGGCGGCUUCUUAAGUCAGGGGUGAAAUCCUGGAGCUCAACUCCAGAACUGCCUUUGAUACUGAGAAGCUUGAGUCCGGGAGAGGUGAGUGGAACUGCGAGUGUAGAGGUGAAAUUCGUAGAUAUUCGCAAGAACACCAGUGGCGAAGGCGGCUCACUGGCCCGGUACUGACGCUGAGGUGCGAAAGCGUGGGGAGCAAACAGG